RNAcentral lists this long non-coding RNA (415 nucleotides) under Takifugu rubripes (torafugu). RNAcentral's name for it is "lncRNA (ENSTRUG00000031276.1)". Lineage: Eukaryota; Metazoa; Chordata; Actinopteri; Tetraodontiformes; Tetraodontidae. The record is from RNAcentral.
UUAAAAAAAAAAACUGUACAUUUUAAUGCGUAUUUUUCAGAUAGUUUGUUUAUCAGGGAGGGGGGGGUCACCCACCCAGCCGGAACGUUCUAACCGUGGUCAGAUGUUGCCGAGGUGGACAUUUUACAGGGUGUCGUCAGGUGUGACGCAACACACGAACGUGGACCAGAUGUGGACCGGAUGUGGACUGGAUGUGGACUGGAUGUGGACCGGAUGUGGACCGGAUGUGGACCGGAUGUGGACUGGAUGUGGACCGGUUGUGGACCGGAUGUGGACUGGAUGGGCGCGAGCGUCGGACCACAGCAGAGUUGCCAUUCUCAACCACUCAGCAUCACUAUGUUGCAACAUCGUGCUGAAGGAGAAGCUGCGAGUGUUUGUGGGAGAAUGUUCGGAGCGCGCGAUAAGGGAGCAGCAG